GACGAACCGUGCGAACGUUUAUUCGGAAUCACUGGGCUUAAAGCGCGUGUAGGCGGGAGGGCACGUCCGUCGCUGAAAUCCCCCGGCUCAACCGGGGAACGGGCACGGAUACGACCUUCCUGGAGGGGCGUAGGGGGACCUGGAACUUCCGGUGGAGCGGUGAAAUGCGUAGAUAUCGGGAGGAACACCAGUGGCGAAGGCGGGCAUCUGGGCCAACACUGACGCUGAGGCGCGAAAGCUAGGGGAGCAAACAGGG
Molecule: ribosomal RNA, 256 nt
Filed under: uncultured bacterium
Lineage: Bacteria
Description: partial 16S ribosomal RNA
Rfam family: Bacterial small subunit ribosomal RNA
Source: RNAcentral